This 76-nucleotide transfer RNA is filed under the name Ruminococcus sp. RNAcentral's name for it is "tRNA-Thr". It matches the Rfam family "tRNA". From Rfam's summary of the family: Transfer RNA (tRNA) molecules are approximately 80 nucleotides in length. The record is from RNAcentral. RNAcentral also lists the same sequence under 1 other name. Lineage: Bacteria; Bacillati; Bacillota; Clostridia; Eubacteriales; Oscillospiraceae.
GCUGCUAUGGCUCAGUAGGCAGAGCACGUCCUUGGUAAGGACGAGGUCACCGGUUCGAUCCCGGUUAGCAGCUCCA